UUUCUCUUCUUCUUCUUAUUCUUCUCCAGCGCCGCUCACCUCUCUCUCCUUCUCUUUUGUUUCCAGCCACCAGAGCCGAUCGAAUCCAUCUUCUCCUCAUCGUCGCGCCACAUCGCUCUGCAGCUUCCUUCUCUCUCUAUUUUCAUUUUCGGUGGGCGCAGCAAACUGGCGACCUGCGAUCUCUCUCUGACGAUCGACGCAAUGGCGCCUUCGCCGUCUCCGGUGACCUCGACACAAUUGAACGGCUCCAGCAACUCCCUUGUCGAUGGCAUAAUCUCCUUCACGCUCUGUUUGUUUUCAGUCUGCUAAACAGGCAAGUCGAGCCCGUUCCGAUCAGUUAGAGGGCCGAUCUCGCUCAACCAAUGCCAAAAACGAACUCUUGAGUGAAAUCCAAGCUAGGCGGAGUGAAGAGUGCUCGAUUACGAGCAGCCAUGGGCUUUUCGGCCACCAUAGGCAGCGGCGACGGCAACAGUCCAGCGAGCAGCCGGUGAGGCCCCAGGAGGUGGAAUCAUCUCCUCCUUGCGCAGAUCGUGGAAUCAUAGUCUGAUUUUCGAUUGAAGUAGGUACUUCUUUGUCCCGGUUAAAGCUCUAUCUCCUCCCCCGCAGAGCUAGAAAAGUAAUUUUUAUAGUCAGCAGUUAUUUAAAUUAUGUAGCUAUAUGUUCUAAAACUUUUAUUUAUAUUUAUCUGUUAGUGAACUCCGCAGUUGUAGGAUUAUAACCGAUUAAUUUAGGUGGAUGUUUAGUUAUUCAUUUAAGUGAACGCAUGAACCAAUUAGCCCAUAUUAUGAAUAUUUUAUAUUAUAAUUGGGCCUGAGCUAUAAAAUGUUUAAGAUGCUAGAUUUGGUCCAAAAUAUAAUAUAAUUAUGAGAUUUAUUAUUUAUGGCAAUAUGGGCUGAUUGUUUGAAAUUCAUAUUAUUAUGGUUGAAUUUCUGUGGUUCAGGCUUACUACGAGCCUCGAGGACCUUAUACUUAUCUGAGUCCUAAUGCCGGUCCUGCCUAUGGUUUCGAGUCGUGACAUAAACAUAGUAAAUCUUCUUUUUUUCGCCAAGUGAUUCUUAAUUUUUUGUUGUGAUAGAUUUGCAACUCUAGGAGCUUAACAGUCAUUUUAAUGAAGUAAAUAUAGAGUUGCUUAUAUGUGCUUCAUGCUUGAAUCCAGUUGAUUUAUUCAAUGCUUAUGAUAAAGAAAAAUUGCUUCAUCUUGCUCAGUUUUAUCAUGUUGAAUUAUCAUCAGUCCAACUCACUAUUCUUGAUAAUCAAUUAGAGACAUAUAAGCUUGUAAACUAAGUCUAGUUGUGAGUGUUCUGAAGCAACUAGAAUUAGUUUACAAGGUUAUAACUUUAGCUUUGGUCUUACCUGUUGUAACUACAUCUGUUGAAAGCACAUUUUAUGUUAUGAAAAUUGUGAAGAAUUGGUUACAGAAUAUAAUUGGACAUCAAUGGAUGGCAGAUAAUUUGAUCACGUAUAUUGAGAAAGAUAUUUUUGAUAAGAUUGACAAUGACACUGCUAUUCAAUGUUAUCAAGGCAUGAAGACUCGCAGAAUACAAUUGUCAAUUUUUUUCCUAAUGUAAUAAAUAUUAUAGAUAUUUGAUAUUAACUGGCUA
Non-coding RNA from Jatropha curcas, 1601 nucleotides. The record is from RefSeq and is a predicted model, not a curated record. Lineage: Eukaryota; Viridiplantae; Streptophyta; Magnoliopsida; Malpighiales; Euphorbiaceae.